UACGUAGGGUGCAAGCGUUAAUCGGAAUUACUGGGCGUAAAGCGUGCGCAGGCGGUUAUGUAAGCCAGAUGUGAAAUGCCCGGGCUUAACCUGGGAACUGCAUUUGUGACUGCAUGGCUAGAGUUUGGCAGAGGGGGGUAGAAUUCCACGUGUAGCAGUGAAAUGCGUAGAUAUGUGGAGGAACACCGAUGGCGAAGGCAGCCUUCUGGGCCAACACUGACGCUCAUGCACGAAAGCGUGGGGAGCAAACAGG
RNAcentral lists this ribosomal RNA (253 nucleotides) under uncultured bacterium. RNAcentral describes it as "partial 16S ribosomal RNA". It matches the Rfam family "Bacterial small subunit ribosomal RNA", at positions 524 to 776 of the family's 1533-position model. The record is from RNAcentral.